UACGUAGGGGGCAAGCGUUGUCCGGAAUCAUUGGGCGUAAAGCGCGUGUAGGCGGGUCGGUAAGUCUGCUGUGAAAGUCCAGGGCUCAACCCUGGGAUGCCGGUGGAUACUGUCGGACUAGAGUACGGAAGAGGCGAGUGGAAUUCCCGGUGUAGCGGUGAAAUGCGCAGAUAUCGGGAGGAACACCUAUUGCGAAGGCAGCUCGCUGGGACGUCACUGACGCUGAGACGCGAAAGCGUGGGGAGCAAACAGG
This 253-nucleotide ribosomal RNA is filed under the name uncultured bacterium. Its description in RNAcentral is "partial 16S ribosomal RNA". It matches the Rfam family "Bacterial small subunit ribosomal RNA", at positions 524 to 776 of the family's 1533-position model. The record is from RNAcentral.